This 301-nucleotide ribosomal RNA is filed under the name uncultured bacterium. RNAcentral's name for it is "partial 16S ribosomal RNA". It matches the Rfam family "Bacterial small subunit ribosomal RNA", at positions 509 to 807 of the family's 1533-position model. The record is from RNAcentral.
CAGCAGCCGCGGGAAUACGAAGGGGGCUAGCGUUGUUCGGAUUUACUGGGCGUAAAGCGCACGUAGGCGGACUUUUAAGUCAGGGGUGAAAUCCCGGGGCUCAACCCCGGAACUGCCUUUGAUACUGGAAGUCUUGAGUAUGGUAGAGGUGAGUGGAAUUCCGAGUGUAGAGGUGAAAUUCGUAGAUAUUCGGAGGAACACCAGUGGCGAAGGCGGCUCACUGGACCAUUACUGACGCUGAGGUGCGAAAGCGUGGGGAGCAAACAGGAUUAGAGACCCCUGUAGUCCCUGUCUCUUAUAC